UUUUUUUAAGUGUUGGCAUCUGUUGGGCGACUCGAUGACAGGAGAAGUUUUGGAUGCUAUCAAUAACAAACAAAUCCCUGAAGGUUGGAAUGACAUUGUGAUAGUUCUCAUGCCGAAAGUGGAUGAUCCAGAAUUAAUUACGCAAUAUAGGCCCAUCAGCUUGUGUAACGUGUUGUAUAAGGUAAUAUCCAAAAUGAUCGCUCUACAUCUUAAACAGGUGUUGGAUGAUAUUAUUUCUCGAGUACAGAGUGCCUUUGUUCCUGGAAGACUGAUUACUGAUAACAUAUUGUUGGCCUAUGAAAGUAUCCAUGCUAUUAAAAAUAAGAAGGGGAAAUGGGGUUAUUGUGCGGUAAAGCUGGACAUGCAUAAAGCUUAUGACUGAGUAGAAUUGCAAUUCCUACAGGAUAUGAUGAUUCAAUUAGGUUUUCAUCAAGAGUUUGUGGAGCUUCUAAUGGCGUGUGUACAAUCUAUAAAAUAUAAGGUGAGGUUUAAUAAUCAAGAAACAAACUCUUUCACCCAGAGAGGGGGCUUUGCCAGGGAGAUUCUCUCUCCCCAUACCUGUUUCUGAUUUGUGCUGAGGGCUUAUCUAGUUUGUUGUCUCAUAAAGAGGAGGUUCGUGGCAUAGAAGGUUUCAGGGUUUGCAGAAAUGCACCAUCAGUUUCCCAUUUAUUAUUUGCUGAUGAUUCCCUUGUCCUUAUGAAAGCAGAUAUGAAUAAUGCAACCUCAUUGAGACAGGUACUGGAGCUGUAUUGUGCAAGUUCUGGACAGCUUGUGAGUGAAGCAAAAUGCAGCAUAUAGUUUAGUAAUGUAAGUGUUGAAACAAAGGCCAAUAUAUGUACUGAACUAAAUAUUAUGUCAGAAGCUCUUUCUGACAAGUAUUUAGGAUUACCUGCAAUGGUGGGAGUAGACUGAAGUGACAGUUUUGUUCAUUUACUCGAAAGGAUCAUUGCUAGGCUAAAAAGUUGGAACGAAAAGUUUUUAUCCAUGGGGGGGAGGAAAUUUUGCUAAAAGCAGUCAUGCAAUCUAUUCCUGUCUUCGCUGUGUCUAUUUUCAAUAUCCCCAAGAAAUCAUGUAAGGAGAUGAUUGAUGCAAUGUCUGAAUUUUGGUGGGGUGGCUCUGAGAACACAAAACAUAUGCAUUGGAUGGCUUGGUGGAGGAUGUGCAUUUCCAGGAGGGGUGGAGGUAUGGGGUUUCGUGAUCUACAUUCUUUUAAUCUAACAAUGCUAGCAAAACAGUCAUGGAGACUUAUUUCUACUCCUGAUUCAUUUGUGCACAAGUACUGAAAUCUAAACAUUUCCCAAAUUGUUUAUUACUCAAACUGGCCCAAAGAAGGGGUCCAACUUUACCUGGCAAAGCAUUGUGGCGGGUCCGAACACUUUCCGAAGAGCACAUGCAUGGCGUGUUGGUACGGGUGAGAUGAUUAAUAUUUGGGAGGAUCAUUGGGUGCCAGGUAGUCCUUCUCGUAUGAUACAGACGCCAAAGGGGAAUAUUAUGCUACAGUAUGUAAACGAGCUAAUCAGUCCGGUUAGUGGUCUCUGGGAUGAGGUGUUGUUGAGAGAUAUAUUCUCUCCCAUUGACGUUGACAGAAUUCUUAAGAUUACACUAAGUGAACACGUAGGAGAUGUUGGAAAUAUGCCCUGGAGGCAAUAAUAAAAUGGUUAUUAUUAUAUUUCCUUGUUCAUGAUAAUCGUCUAUUGUUCAUGUUAUAAUUGUGUUAUCCGGAAAUCGUAAUACAUGUGCGAACACAUAGACCAUAACAUGUCCCUAGUGAGCCUCUAGUUGACUAGCUCGUUGAUCAAUAGAUGGUUACGGUUUCCUGACCAUGGACAUUGGAUGUCAUUGAUAACGGGAUCACAUCAUUAGGAGAAUGAUGUGAUGGACAAGACCCAAUCCUAAGCAUAGCACUAGAUCGUGUAGUUCGUUUGCUAAAGCUUUUCUAAUGUCAAGUAUCAUUUCCUUAGACCAUGAGAUCGUGCAACUCCCGGAUACCGUGGGAAUGCUUUGGGUGUACCAAACGUCACAACGUAACUGGGUGGCUAUAAAGGUGCACUACAGGUAUCUCCGAAAUCGGAUCGAGACUGGGAUUUGUCACUCCGUAUGACGGAGAGGUAUCUCUGGGCCCACUCGGUAAUGCAUCAUCAUAAUGAGCUCAAUGUAACUAAGUACUUAGUCACGGAUCAUGCAUUACGGAAUGAGUAAAGUGACUUGCCGGUAACGAGAUUGAACGAGGUAUUGGGAUACCGACGAUCGAAUCUCGGGCAAGUAACGUACCGAUUGACAAAGGGAAUUGUAUACGGGAUUGCUUGAAUCCUCGACAUCGUGGUUCAUCCGAUGAGAUCAUCGUGGAACGUGUGGGAGCCAACAUGGGUAUCCAGAUCCCGCUAUUGGUUAUUGGCUAGAGAGGUGUCUCGGUCAUGUCUGCAUGAUUCCCGAACCCGUAGGGUCUACACACUUAAGGUUCGAUGACGCUAGGGUUAUAAGGAAGGUUUGUAUGUGAUUACCGAAUGUUGUUCGGAGUCCCAGAUGAGAUCCUGGACGUCACGAGGAGUUCCGUAUUGGUCCGGAGGUGAAGAUUUAUAUAUGGGAAGUCAUCAUACGGUCACCGGAAAUAUUCGGAGGUAUACCGGUAUUGUACCGGGACCACCGGAGGGGUUCCGGGAGUCCACCUGCCCCGGAGGGCCCUAUGGGCUAUAGGUGGAAGGGAACCAGCCCCUAAGUGGGCUGGGCGCCAUCCCCCUAGGGCCCAUGCGCCUAGGGUUGGGAGGAACCCUAAAAGGGGGCGCCCCCUUGCUUGGGGGGCAAGCCCCCUCCCCCUUGGCCGUCGCCCCCCCUCUAGAUCUCAUCUAGAGGGGCCGGCCCCCUUCCCCCUUUUCCCUAUAAAUAGAGGGGUGGAGGGAGGGCUGCAGCACCACAUCCAAGGCGCAGCCCCUCCCCUCCCCAACACCUCUCCUCCUCCGCGUGAGCUUGGCGAAGCCCUGCCGGAGAACUGCCACUCCACCACCACCACGCCGUCGUGCUGCUGUUGGAGCCUUCUUCCUCAACCUCUCCCUCCUCCUUGCUGGACCAAGGCGCGGGAGACGUCACCGGGCUGCACGUGUGUUGAACGAGGAGGCGCCGUUGUUCGGCGCUUGGAUCGGAAUCAACCGCGAUCUGAAUCGCUACGAGUACGACUCCCUCAUCUGCGUUCUUGUAACGCUUCCGUCUCGCGAUCUUCAACGGUAUGAAGAUGCACUUCCCUCUCUCUCGUUGCUAGUUACUCCAUAGAUUGAUCUUGGUGAUGCGUAGAAAUUUUUUAAUUUCUGCAACGAUCCCCAACAGGAGAGGAUUUCAUUGCCUGGCAUUAUACAAAAUCCUAUACUUUCUCCGUACGAUUUGCUUACUAUAUUGAAUGGGACCAUUCCCAUCGACAUAGACUAACUCUUGAAGAUGGCUAGAGUACAUCAAGGCGCAACCCUGUGUGGGACAUUUUAUGGAAAUUACAAGUGCCAAACAAAGUUAAAAUCUUUGGGUCGAAGGCUUUAGAUGGCAUGAUUCCAGGUUUUGCUAUUCUUGCUAAUAGGCAUAUUCCAAUUACUGCCCAGUGUCCUGUAUGUGAAAGUGGCCAUGAAGAUAUAAAACAUCUUAUGUUCACUUGUGUUCGUGAAAAAACAGUUUGGAAUUCUUUGGGGUUGCUGCAGUAUAUCAAUGAAGUUGUUCCAGUGGACCGAUCGGGUUCAGUCAUUUUGGAAGAAAUACUUUGACGGCCACAAAAUAAUUCUCUGGUGAUCAAGGGGGGUUUGAAGGAACUAAUCCUAGUGGGGGCAUGGUAUAUCUGGUGGCAAAGAAGGGAGUAUGUUAAGGGUCAACGUGUGGCAGAACCAGCUAGCUCAGCUUUCUCAAUUCAAGCCUUGACAUGUAAUUUUAUGGGAGCACAACUUAACUAUGAACCUCGUGAGAUCGCUUGGUCUAAGCCACCAGGUAAUACAUAUAAACUAAAUGUGGACGCUGCUUUCUCUGAAAAUGGAUAUGGAGGUGCGGGCGCUGUGGUACGCAACGACAGGGGAGAGGCGAACGCGGGUGCAUGAUGGCCGCUGCAGAAUCUUCUUGACGCGGCAAAUGCUGAAGAUACGACUCUCUUGAAAGGAUUAUGUUUAAUUGAGACUCUGGAUUGUGCUCCAGUUAUCAUAGAAUCUGACUCGUUGGAGCUUGUGGAAGCCUUCAAGGGAGUAAUUCAAGUCUGGUCCCCGUAUUUGGCGAUUCUUGCAGAUUGUUUCCAGGUUGCCUACAGGAUUGGCUCAAUUUCAAUUCAACACUGCUCCAGGGAGGCAAAUUUCGUGGCGCAUAAUUUAGCUAAACAUGCUUUUGUUUCUAAUUCUGCCGUUUUUGGGAUGAUGAUCCCCCUAGUUUCAUUAUCCCGGCCGUAAUGAAUGAUGUAUCUUUGUUUGAAUUGCAAUAAAACGCACCAUGAAGGCUUUCCCUGAAAAAACACGCGUCCCAUGAUAUCCAACUUUGGAGUCGAUUUUUAGGGUGAACUGAAAAACCAUGUGAUGGUUGGUGGGAGGGAAAUUUCUGUUGGAAAUAUGCCCUAGAGGCAAUAAUAAAUGGUUAUUAUUAUAUUUCUUUGUUCAUGAUAAUCGUCUAUUGUUCAUGCUAUAAUUGUAUUGUCCGGAAAUCGUAAUACAUGUGUGAAUGCAUAGACCACAACAUGUCCCUAGUAAGCCUCUAGUUGACUAGCUCGUUGAUCAACAGAUAGUCAUGGUUUCUGACUAUGGACAUUGGAUGUCAUUGAUAACGGGAUCACAUCAUUAGGAGAAUGAUGUGAUGGACAAGACCCAAUCCUAAGCAUAGCAUAAAAGAUCGUGUAGUUUCGUUUGCUAGAGCUUUUCCAAUGUCAAGUAUCUUUUCCUUAGACCAUGAGAUUGUGCAACUCCCGGAUACCGUAGGAGUGCUUUGGGUGUGCCAAACGUCACAACGUAACUGGGUGACUAUAAAGGUGCACUACGGGUAUCUCCGAAAGUGUCUGUUGGGUUGGCAUGGAUCGAGACUGGGAUUUGUCACUCCGUGUGACGGAGAGGUAUCUCUGGGCCCACUCGGUAAUGCAUCAUCAUAAUGAGCUCAAUGUGACUAAGGGUUAGUCACGGGAUCAUGCAUUGUGGUACGAGUAAAGAGACUUGCCGGUAACGAGAUUGAACAAGGUAUUGGGAUACCGACGAUCGAAUCUCGGGCAAGUAACAUACCGAUUAACAAAGGGAAUUGCAUACGGGGUUGAUUGAAUCCUCGACACCGUGGUUCAUCCGAUGAGAUCAUCGUGGAACAUGUGGGAGCCAACAUGGGUAUCCAGAUCCCGCUGUUGGUUAUUGACCGGAGAGGCGUCUCGGUCAUGUCUGCUUGUCUCCUGAACCCGUAGGGUCUACACACUUAAGGUUCGGUGACGCUAGGGUUAUAGAGAUAUGUGUAUGCGGAAACCCGAAAGUUGUUCGGAGUCCCGGAUGAGAUCCCAGACGUCACGAGAGGUUCCGGAAUGGUCCGGAGGUGAAGAAUUAUAUAUAGGAAGUCAAGUUUCGGCCAUCGGGAAAGUUUUGGGGGUUACCGGUAUUGUACCGGGACCACCGGAAGGGUCCCGGGGGUCCACCGGGUGGGGCCACCUAUCCCGGAGGGCCCCGUGGGCUGAAGUGGGAAGGGAACCAGCCCCUAGUGGGCUGGGCGCCCCCCCAUGGGCCUCCCCCCAUGCGCCUAGGGUUGGGAACCCUAGGGUGGGGAGGGCUUCCCACUUGCCUUGGGGGGCAAGGCACCCCCUUUCCCCCUUUGGCCGCCGCCCCCCCCCCCCUUGAGAUCCCAUCUCCAGGGCCGGCGCCCCCCCAGGGGGCCUAUAUAAAGGGGGGGAGGGCAGCAACAAGACAGCCUUGGGCGCCUCCCUCCUCCCCUGCUACACCUCUUCGUCUCGCAGAAGCUCGGCGAAGCCCUGCCGAGACCCGCUACAUCCACCACCACGCCGUCGUGCUGCUGGAUCUCCAUCAACCUCUCCUUCCCCCUUGCUGGAUCAAGAAGGAGGAGACGUCGCUGCACCGUACGUGUGUUGAACGCGGAGGUGCCGUCCGUUCGGCACUCGGUCAUCGGUGAUUUGGAUCACGGCGAGUACGACUCCGUCAUCCACGUUCAUUGGAACGCUUCCGCUCGCGAUCUACAAGGGUAUGUAGAUGCACUCCUUUCCCCUCGUUGCUAGUAUACUCCAUAGAUGCAUCUUGGUGAGCGUAGGAAAAUUUUAAAUUAUGCUACGAUUCCCAACAGUGGCAUCAUGAGCCAGGCCUAUGCGUAGUUACUAUGCACGAGUAGAACACAAAGCAGUUGUGGGUGUUGAGUUUGCCAAUUCUUCUUGCCGCUACUAGUCUUUUCUUGUUUCGGCGGUAUUGUAGGAUGAAGCGGCCCGGUCCGACCUUACACGUACGCUUACGUGAGACAGGUUCCACCGAUUGACAUGCACUAGUUGCAUAAGGUGGCUAGCGGGUGUCUGUCUCUCCUACUUUAGUCGGAACGGAUUCGAUGAAAAGGGUCCUUAUGAAGGGUAAAUAGAAAUUGGCAAAUCACAUUGUGGUCAUACGUAGGUAAGAAACGUUCUUGCUAGAAACCUAUAAACCACGUAAAAACUUGCAACAACAAUUAGAGGACGUCUAACUUGUUUUUGCAGCAAGUGCUAUGUGAUGUGAUAUGGCCAGAAGAUGUGAUGAAUGAUAUAUGUGAUGUAUGAGAUUGAUCAUAUUCUUGUAAUAGGAAUCACGACUUGCAUGUCGAUGAGUAUGACAACCGGCAGGAGCCAUAGGAGUUGUCUUUAUUAUUUUACAUGACCUGCGUGUCAUUGAAUAACGCCAUGUAAAUUACUUUACUUUGUUGCUAAACGCGUUAGCCGUAGAAGUAGAAGUAAUCGUUGGCGUGACGACUUCAUGAAGACACAAUGAUGGAGAUCAGGAUGAUGGAGAUCAUGGUGUCAUGCCGGUGACGAAGAUGAUCAUGGUGCCCCGAAGAUGGAGAUCAAAGGAGCAUAAUGAUAUUGGCCAUAUCAUGUCACUAUUUGAUUGCAUGUGAUGUUUAUCAUGUUUUUGCAUCUUAUUUUCUUAGAACGACGGUAGUAAGUAAGAUGAUCCCUUAUAAUAAUUUCAAGAAAGUGUUCACCCUAACUGUGCACCGUUGCGAAGGUUCGUUGUUUCGAAGCACCACGUGAUGAUCGGGUGUGAUAGAUUCUAACGUUCGAAUACAACGGGUGUUGACGAGCCUAGCAUGUACAGACAUGGCCUCGGAACACACGCAAUACACUUAGGUUGACUUGACGAGCCUAGCAUGUACAGACAUGGCCUCGGAACACGGAGGACCGAAAGGUUGAGCAUGAGUCGUAUAGAAGAUACGAUCAACAUGGAGAUGUUCACCGAUCUUGACUAGUCCGUCUCACGUGAUGAUCGGACACGGCCUAGUUAAACUCGGAUCAUGUUUCACUUAGAUGACUAGAGGGAUGUCUAUCUGAGUGGGAGUUCAUUAAAUAAUUUGAUUAGAUGAACUUAAUUAUCAUGAACUUAGUCUAAAAUCUUUACACUAUGUCUUGUAGAUCAAAUGGCCAACGUUGUCCUCAAUUUCAACGCGUUCCUAGAGAAAACCAAGCUAAAAGAUGAUGGCAGCAACUAUACGGACUGGGUCCGGAACCUGAGGAUCAUCCUCAUAGUAGCCAAGAAAGAUUAUGUCCUAGAAGCACCGCUAGGUGAUGCACCAAUCCCACAGAACCAAGACGUUAUGAACGCUUGGCAGCAGCGUGCUGAUGAUUACUCCCUCGUUCAGUGCGGCAUGCUUUACAGCCUAGAACCGGGUCUCCAAAAGCGUUUUGAGAAACAUGGAGCAUAUGAGAUGUUCGAGGAGCUGAAAUUGGUUUUCCAAGCUCAUGCUCGGGUCGAGAGAUAUGAAGUCUCCGACAAGUUCUUCAGCUGUAAAAUGGAGGAGAACAGUUCUGUUAGUGAGCACAUACUCAGAAUGUCUGGGUUGCAUAACUGCUUGUCUCAGCUGGGAGUCAAUCUCCCGGAUGACGCGGUCAUUGACAGAAUCCUCCAGUCGCUUCCACCAAGCUACAAGAGCUUUGUGAUGAACUUCAAUAUGCAGGGGAUGGAAAAAACCAUUCCCGAGGUAUAUUUAAUGCUGAAAUCAGCAGAGGUGGAGAUCAGAAAAGAACAUCAAGUGUUGAUGGUGAAUAAAACCACUAAGUUCAAGAAGGGCAAGGGUAAGAAGAACUUCAAGAAGGACGGCAAGGGAGUUGCCGCGCCCGGUAAGCCAGUUGCCGGGAAGAAGUCAAGGAAUGGACCCAAGCCCGAGACUGAGUGCUUUUAUUGCAAGGGAAGUGGUCACUGGAAGCGGAACUGCCCCAAAUACUUAGCGGACAAGAAGAAGGCCGGCAACACCAAAGGUAUAUGUGAUAUACAUGUAAUUGAUGUGUACCUUACCAGUACUCGUAGUAGCUCCUGGGUAUUUGAUACCGGUGUGGUUGCUCAUAUUUGUAACUCAAAACAGGAACUACGGAAUAGACGGAGACUGGCAAAGGACGAGGUGACGAUGCGCGUCGGGAAUGGUUCCAAGGUCGAUGUGAUCGCCGUCGGCACGCUACCUCUGCAUCUACCCACGGGAUUAGUUUUAAACCUCAAUAAUUGUUAUUUAGUACCAGCUUUGAGCAUGAACAUUGUAUCUGGAUCUCGUUUAAUUCGAGAUGGCUACUCAUUUAAAUCCGAGAAUAAUGGUUGUUCUAUUUAUUUGAGAGAUAUGUUUUAUGGUCAUGCCCCGCUGGUCAAUGGUUUAUUUUUGAUGAAUCUCGAACGUGAUGUUACACAUGUUCAUAGUGUGAAUACCAAAAGAUGUAAAGUUGAUAACGAUAGUCCCACAUACUUGUGGCACUGCCGCCUUGGUCACAUUGGUGUCAAGCGCAUGAAGAAGCUCCAUGCAGAUGGACUUUUGGAGUCUCUUGAUUACGAAUCAUUUGACACGUGCGAACCAUGCCUCAUGGGUAAGAUGACCAAGACUCCGUUCUCCGGAACAAUGGAGCGAGCAACCAACUUAUUGGAAAUCAUACAUACCGAUGUGUGCGGUCCAAUGAGUGUUGAGGCUCGCGGAGGAUAUCGUUAUGUUCUCACUAUCACUGAUGAUUUAAGUAGAUAUGGGUAUGUAUACCUAAUGAAACACAAGUCUGAAACCUUUGAAAAGUUCAAGGAAUUUCAGAGUGAAGUCGAGAAUCAACGUGACAGGAAAAUAAAAUUCUUACGAUCAGAUCGUGGUGGAGAAUAUUUAAGUCACGAAUUUGGUACACACUUAAGGAAAUGUGGAAUAGUUUCACAACUCACGCCGCCUGGAACACCUCAGAGAAAUGGUGUGUCCGAACGUCGUAAUCGCACUCUAUUGGAUAUGGUGCGAUCUAUGAUGUCUCUUACCGAUUUACCGCUCUCAUUUUGGGGUUAUGCUUUAGAGACUGCCGCAUUCACUUUAAAUAGGGCUCCGUCGAAAUCCGUUGAGACGACACCGUAUGAAUUAUGGUUUGGGAAGAAACCUAAGCUGUCGUUUCUAAAAGUUUGGGGAUGCGAUGCUUAUGUCAAGAAACUUCAACCUGAAAAGCUCGAACCCAAAUCGGAAAAAUGCGUCUUCAUAGGAUACCCUAAGGAAACUAUUGGGUACACCUUCUACCUCAGAUCCGAAGGCAAGAUCUUCGUUGCCAAGAAUGGGUCCUUUCUAGAGAAGGAGUUUCUCUCGAAAGAAUUGAGUGGGAGGAAAGUGGAACUUGAUGAGGUGAUAGUCACCCCUUCCGAACCGGAAAGUAGCGCAGCGCGGGAAAAUGUUCCUGUGGUGCCUACACCGACUGGGGAGGAAGUUAAUGAUGAUGAUCAUGAAGCUUCGGAUCAAGUUACUGAACUUCGUAGGUCCACAAGGACACGUUCCGCACCAGAGUGGUACGGCAACCCUGUCCUGGAAAUCAUGUUGUUAGACAACGGUGAACCUUCAAACUAUGAAGAAGCGAUGGCGGGCCCGGAUUCCGACAAAUGGCUAGAAGCCAUGAAAUCCGAGAUAGAAUCCAUGUAUGAAAACAAAGUAUGGACUUUGACUGACUUGCCCGAUGAGCGGCGAGCCAUAGAAAACAAAUGGAUCUUUAAGAAGAAGACGGACGCGGAUGGUAAUGUGAGCAUCUACAAAGCUCGACUUGUCGCUAAGGGUUAUCGACAAGUUCAAGGGGUUGACUACGAUGAGACUUUCUCACCCGUAGCGAAGCUGAAGUCCGUCUGAAUCAUGUUAGCAAUUGCUGCAUACUAUGAUUAUGAGAUAUGGAAGAUGGACGUCAAAACGGCAUUCCUUAACGGCUUCCUUAAGGAAGAGUUGUAUAUGAUGCAGCCGGAAGGUUUUGUCGAUCCUAAGAAUGCUAACAAAGUAUGCAAGCUCCAACGCUCAAUCUAUGGGCUGGUGCAAGCAUCUCGGAGUUGGAACAUUCGCUUUGAUGAGAUGAUCAAAGCGUUUGGGUUUACACAGACUUAUGGAGAAGCCUGUGUUUACAAGAAAGUGAGUGGGAGCUCUGUAGCAUUUCUCAUAUUAUAUGUGGAUGAAAUACUAUGAUGGGAAAUGAUAUAGAAUUCUUGGAAAGUAUAAAGGCCUAUUUGAAUAAGUGUUUUUCAAUGAAGGACCUUGGAGAAGCUGCUUAUAUAUUAGGCAUCAAGAUCUAUAGGGAUAGAUCAAGACGCCUCAUUGGUCUUUCACAGAGUACAUACCUUGACAAGAUAUUGAAGAAGUUCAAUAUGGAUCAGUCCAAGAAGGGGUUCUUGCCUGUAUUGCAAGGUGUGCAGUUGAGCACGGCUCAAUGCCCGACCACGGCAGAAGAUAGAGAAAAGAUGAGUGUGAUCCCCUAUGCCUCGGCCAUAGGGUCUAUUAUGUAUGCCAUGCUGUGUACCAGACCUGAUGUAAACCUUGCCGUAAGUUUGGUAGGAAGGUACCAAAGUAAUCCCGGCAUGGAACACUAGACAGCGGUCAAGAAUAUCCUGAAGUACCUGAAGAGGACUAAGGAUAUGUUUCUCGUUUAUGGAGGUGACGAAGAUCUUGACUAGUCCGUCUCACGUGAUGAUCGGACACGGCCUAGUUAACUCGGAUCAUGUUUCACUUAGAUGACUAGAGGGAUGUCUAUCUGAGUGGGAGUUCAUUGAAUAAUUUGAUUAUAUGAACUUAAUUAUCAUGAACUUAGUCUAAAAUCUUUACAAUAUGUCUUGUAGAUCAAAUGGCCCACGUUGUCCUCAACUUCAACGCGUUCCUAGAGAAAACCAAGCUGAAAGAUGAUGGCAGCAACUAUACGGACUGGGUCCGGAACCUGAGGAUCAUCCUCAUAGCAGCCAAGAAAGAUUAUGUCCUAGAAGCACCGCUAGGUGAAGCACCAAUCCUAGAGAACCAAGACGUUAUGAACGCUUGGCAAUCACGUGCUGAUGAUUACUCCCUCGUUCAGUGCGGCAUGCUUUACAGCUUAGAACCGGGGCUCCAAAAGCGUUUUGAGAAGCAUGGAGCAUAUGAGAUGUUCGAAGAGCUGAAAAUGGUUUUCCAAGCUCAUGCCCGGGUCGAGAGAUAUGAAGUCUCUGACAAGUUCUUCAGCUGUAAAAUGGAGGAGAAUAGUUCUGUUAGUGAGCACAUACUCAGAAUGUCUGGGUUACACAACCGCUUGUCUCAGCUGGGAGUUAAUCUCCCGGAUGACGCGGUCAUUGACAGAAUCCUUCAGUCGCUUCCACCAAGCUACAAGAGCUUUGUGAUGAACUUCAAUAUGCAGGGGAUGGAAAAGACCAUUCCUGAGGUAUAUUCGAUGCUGAAAUCAGCGGAGGUGGAGAUCAGAAAAGAACAUCAAGUGUUGAUGGUGAAUAAAACCACUAAGUUCAAGAAGGGCAAGGGUAAGAAGAACUUCAAGAAGGACGGCAAGGGAGUUGCCGCGCCCGGUAAGCCAGUUACCGGGAAGAAGUCAAAGAAUGGACCCAAGCCUGAGACUGAGUGCUUUUAUUGCAAGGGAAGUGGUCACUGGAAGCGGAACUGCCCCAAAUACUUAGCGGACAAGAAGGCCGGCAACACCAAAGGUAUAUGUGAUAUACAUGUAAUUGAUGUGUACCUUACCAGUACUCGUAGUAGCUCCUGGGUAUUUGAUACCGGUGCGGUUGCUCAUAUUUGUAACUCAAAACAGGAACUGCGGAAUAAGCGGAGACUGGCGAAGGACGAGGUGACGAUGCGCGUCGGGAAUGGUUCCAAGGUCGAUGUGAUCGCCGUCGGCACGCUACCUCUGCAUUUACCUACGGGAUUAGUUUUAAACCUCAAUAAUUGUUAUUUAGUGCCAGCUUUGAGCAUGAACAUUGUAUCUGGAUCUCGUUUAAUUCGAGAUGGCUACUCAUUUAAAUCCGAGAAUAAUGGUUGUUCUAUUUAUAUGAGAGAUAUGUUUUAUGGUCAUGCCCCGCUGGUCAAUGGUUUAUUCUUGAUGAAUCUCGAACGUGAUGUUACACAUAUUCAUAGCGUGAAUACCAAAAGAUGUAAAGUUGAUAACGAUAGUCCCACAUACUUGUGGCACUGCCGCCUUGGUCACAUUGGUGUCAAGCGCAUGAAGAAGCUCCAUGCAGAUGGACUUUUGGAGUCUCUUGAUUACGAAUCAUUUGACACGUGCGAACCAUGCCUCAUGGGUAAGAUGACCAAGACUCCGUUCUCCGGAACAAUGGAGCGAGCAACCAACUUAUUGGAAAUCAUACAUACCGAUGUGUGUGGUCCAAUGAGUGUUGAGGCUCGCGGAGGAUAUCGUUAUGUUCUCACUCUCACUAAUGAUUUAAGUAGAUAUGGGUAUGUCUACCUAAUGAAACACAAGUCUGAAACCUUUGAAAAGUUCAAGGAAUUUCAGAGUGAAGUUGAGAAUCAACGUGACAGGAAAAUAAAAUUCUUACGAUCAGAUCGUGGUGGAGAAUAUUUAAGUCACGAAUUGUAACAUCCCAAAUUUUCAAUUUGGUAUGUUAUACAUAGAUCAUCAUUGCAUAUCAUGUUUUAUUGCAUUUUGACAAAUCCUCGAUAAAUCCUAAGCAACUCAAGGACCCUCGGAGAGAGUUGGGGAUUUUCUCGAAUUUUUAAAUUUGAUUUUCAUCAAAUAUUAAGACGAGGAUUUUGGUUUUAAUUAUUUUCUCUCCGGAAAAAUAUUUCAUCUUAUACAUAAACGAGAGGAGAAAAUAUGACUUCUCCAAAACAAUUGAAAUACUGGAGGAAAAAUGUUAAAAUCAUUUAUUGGAAUUUAUUUGGAUUUUAUUUGCAAUUUUUAUUGCAUUAAAAAUAUUGCAUGUUUUUAAAAUAUUUAUUUUGUGUUAAAAAACUGUUCACCCUAUUCUAGAUUUUCUAACUAGACGGGGAAAAUUUAUUUUAUAUUUUUCUGACUUUUAUUUAUUUUUCUAUGAAUUAUUUUCCGCGGAACGUUUUAAAAAAAACACGCGCGUGCCCGCCGGGCCAAGCCCAGCCGCCAGGCCGCCGGCCCACCCCGCGCCCCUCUCCUCUCCCCGCACGGCCGCCGCCGCCGCCGUGNNNNNNNNNNNNNNNNNNNNNNNNNNNNNNNNNNNNNNNNNNNNNNNNNNNNNNNNNNNNNNNNNNNNNNNNNNNNNNNNNNNNNNNNNNNNNNNNNNNNNNNNNNNNNNNNNNNNNNNNNNNNNNNNNNNNNNNNNNNNNNNNNNNNNNNNNNNNNNNNNNNNNNNNNNNNNNNNNNNNNNNNNNNNNNNNNNNNNNNNNNNNNNNNNNNNNNNNNNNNNNNNNNNNNNNNNNNNNNNNNNNNNNNNNNNNNNNNNNNNNNNNNNNNNNNNNNNNNNNNNNNNNNNNNNNNNNNNNNNNNNNNNNNNNNNNNNNNNNNNNNNNNNNNNNNNNNNNNNNNNNNNNNNNNNNNNNNNNNNNNNNNNNNNNNNNNNNNNNNNNNNNNNNNNNNNNNNNNNNNNNNNNNNNNNNNNNNNNNNNNNNNNNNNNNNNNNNNNNNNNNNNNNNNNNNNNNNNNNNNNNNNNGGAGCCCCGCCGGAGCACUACCCCGACGAGGUACUGCCUCACUGCCCCGUUCGUCGUUGCCGGUUUUUGUUAAAAAAAACCCUUAGUUUUUUAAAAAGAAAAAAAACCUAGAUCGGUUUUUUUUCGGUUUUAUUAUUUUGCGAGCGUUCACCGAACCGUUCGUUUUAACGAACGCGUUCGUCGGUUUUUCUCUGUUAACGAACGUCCGUUCUUUAACCGUUCGUCCGUUUUUCUUUUUCGUCGGAUUUUUCUGCGAUUAUCUCAGAUUCGAUUCCUGAUCGAAUCUUCGUUUCUGUUUAACUUUUCGCUCGUUUAUCGGAAUCAGGCGAUUCAAGCGCCUAGAGUUUCGUCUCGAAAUUCUCUUUCCGUUUAACCUACUCAAACAAGUUUUUGCUACAGUAAAAUUUGACCUAGAUCCAGAUUAGUAAACAAAGUUUCUUUCUUUCGCAGUUUGACUUUCGUUAUUUCUUUCGAGUUGAUUCUUUUUGCAAACCGGAGUUCUUAAGUUGAACUUUCUGGUUGGAUCUUUCAUUCGAGUUUUACCUGUGCAUUAGAUGAGUACUGAUUGUAUGCUUGUUUGUUUGCGAUAGAGUACCCGGAGUGUGCCGCUUGUUACUUCGAAUCGCUAGGUUUUGCGGAUCAUCGGCAAGGCAAGUAACACUUUGAUCAUACCUUUCCAUACCCAGUUUUAUUGCAUUAGAUCUAUUCCUCAAACAUUGCAUGACUAGGAUCUAAUUAAAUUGUGGGUAUUGGGAAGUAGUUGAGGUAGCACCUAUUACCUGUAUUCUUAUCAAACCCUUGGGAGUUACUUCUACGUUGCUUUUAUUAUUGCCAUGCUAUGCUCGUAGACGUGGAUUGGGUUUGAGUGAAAUUCAUGACAGAUGUGAGAUUGUUAACAAUGGUUUACCUAAGGUGGCAACUAAAACUCACAUCUGGGUGGAUUGAGGUACCUGGGUAUUCCAGGAUUGCCUGUUUUUCUUUUGGACCGCCACCCAGGUUCCAAGGGAUCAUAAGAUUAUUCAUGCUAGAAACUUCCGUGUGCAGCCGCAAGCUAUUAUGGGCUCUAGCAUAGUUGAUUAAGUUGUGUGAACUCUUACAGUGGUAGACUAGCAGAUGUAGGGGAAAGUAGGUGUAACUGUCUACCCAUACGUAAAGUGCAAACACUUCUGAAAGACUGUGUCUUGGUCAUCCGUUACUCAAACACCAUGUAGUGCGAGUAAUCCAACGGAGGAGAUCAAGUCUUGUGGGGAAAAGUGCACAAACCUCUGCAGAGUGUACAAACUAAUCAUGGUUAGCCAUGUCCCCGGUUAUGGACAACUUGAGUAUCUAGUACUUGGAUUAUCAUGUGAAUCUCAUCACUAUGUUACUUCUAAUUAAUUUUGUUGGGUUAUUGAUGACAUUUAAUUGGGAUUGAGAUGCUGUCAACCAUCUCAAUGUUUCACAACCACCAUGAUAGUUAAAUAAAAUUUAUUCCUUUGAAGUAGGAUAAAAUUGGCUUUUCGCAAAAAUUGAAACCAUAGAGCUUUCCACCAGCCAUAUAUGCAUGUAGUAUAGCCUUAUUAUUGUUCAUUAUUCUCUAUGUGUUACAUUGCCAGCAUAUUCUAUGUGCUGACCCGUUUACGGGCUGCAACGUUUCAUGUUGCAGACUCUUCAGACGACGAGUAAGGUGCCUUAGGUCGUGGUCUUAUACUCAGUGAUGCCGCUGGAGUUGAUGGACUCACUUAUCUUCCAAGUCUUCCGCUGUUAUCGUUAUUAGAUGGCCUUAAGCCAUGUUUAUCAUACUUAAUAUCUUUGGAGAUAUUCGAUGUAAUAAGUGUGUGAUUGCUACUCUGUUAUAAAUCCUCCAUUUGUACUGUGCGUGUCAGCAUUACUGAUCCAGGGAUGACACUGGUGCACAGCAGCACAGACCAUUUGAGGUCUGGUCGCUACAAAGUUGGUAUCAGAGCACACGCUGACUGUAGGACACGACCACUAAGCUUAAGCCCUAGAAAGCUUCUCUCUUCUCAUUUCUGACCCCUAUCCACUUUCUACUCUUUUAGGAAUGGCGAAUGCAAGGAGCAAGUUCAUGCAACCAGAUGAAGACACGCCGUUUGGUCGACACUUGAAGGAAGUCACCAAGUACUUGAACAUAGGAAUACCAAGCAUCACCGGAACCUACAACGCCACAUUACCUGAAGAGGAGAGCUGGAAGAUUCAAGUUCACAUUCCAGGAAGGACGUUUGUGCCAGUUACUGAACCCAUAAGAUUGGUUUUCGAAGCACCAACCUGGAGUUUAGGGAAGAGCAUGGCCGCACACGUCGCCAUGAGACGCAUUGGAGAAGUCUACCACCAGGAGCUUAAGGAUACAAUUUACCAAAUUUGUGGACGCCGAGACGCGCAAUGGGAGAUGAUCAGAACCAAGAAGGAUGGAUCAAUUGCAGCUUUCAUCCAGGAGGAGAACCAACACAUUCGUCGCCAGGAGAACCAGAUGUGCACGGACAAGGAAGAACUGAAGAAGGCAUUGACGAAGAUCAAGGAGCUGGAGGAAGAACUCAAGGCUACACGCGAGGAUUAUUUGGAAGAAAUCAACGCACUAGUAGGGAAGAAUGACGACCUAGAGAAGAAGAUUGGAAUAUUCAUGGGAAAUCCAGUGCCAAAGGCAGAAGUCGACGAAUGCACUUGUCCGGAUAACUACAUCAUCAUCGACGACACUGACUCGGAACCAAGUGAAUAUGACUGGGUUGACGAAGCUGGAGCAGACAUCAUGGAGUCUUCAACGGAUCAGAAUUUCUAGUAGACCACCAUAUCAGUAGUAGUUUUCCCCCAUUUAAUAGUAUAGUUCAAGCACUUUGUAACGCUAGCUAGAUCGAUUGUUUUGCCUUGUUUGAAUUGAUUGAGUGAUAUUGAUUGAAUUUGUCUCAUGAGCAUAUGGGUAGUGUUUUCUCUCUAGACCUCAUUCUAUUCUUAACUCUCAUCUUUUCUAAACCUAUCAGAUGCCUCCGAGACGCGACACCGGAUUUGUUUUCCCGCCAGAGAUCACCCAGUUGAUUCAGCAACAGAAUGCCCUGAUGCAAGUGUUAGUGCAGAACCAAGGCAACAACAACAACAACAACCCACCGCCACCACCACCUGUUGAUCACUUAGCCCGUUUCUUAAGGCUAAACCCGUCGGUGUUUUCCAGUAGCACCGAGCCGAUUGUAGCAGAUGAUUGGCUCCGCAAAGUUGGAAGGGAGUUGACCACUGCAAGAUGCACAGAUGCGGAAAGAGUGCGUUUUGCCGCACAUCAGCUUGAUGGACCCGCAGCAUCAUGGUGGGAGAAUUAUACAGCCACGCACCCUAUUGACACUGUCACAUGGGACCAGUUUCAGCAAGCUUUCCGUACAGCACAUCUUUCAGCAGGAGCUAUGGCUAUGAAGAAGCGUGAGUUUCGCAGCCUACACCAAGGAGGACGCACCGUAGGCCAGUAUGUGGAGGAUUUCAGUAAGCUAGCACGUUAUGCACCAGAUGACGUUGCUACAGAUGCAGCCAAGCAGGAGAAAUUUUUGGAAGGGCUGAAUGAUGAACUGAGUAUGCAGUUGAUGGUAGCAACCUUCAACAACUACCAGGAGCUGGUAGAUAGAGCUCUCAUGAUUGAAGGGAAGCAACAGCAGAUUGAAAACCGUAAGAGGAAGUAUGGACAAGGGAAGUAUAACUCAGGAGCUCAGCAGAAGCCUCGAUUUACCCCGAAGCCGGGAGGACAGUUUCAGCAUACCCAUGGAGGAGGUAGUUCGCACAACCAUAAUGGCUCUAAAAAUGGUAAUGGGAAUGGAGGAAGCAACGGACAGAACCGCACCAACCCAUCUACCCCAGCCAAGAGGGACCUGAGCCAAGUCACUUGUUUCAAGUGCCAGAAGAAUGGACAUUAUGCCAAUGAAUGUCCUGAAGCCCAAAAUGGAAAUGGCAAUGGAAGCUCUGGGAAGAAGCCGAACCCGUUCAACAAAGGACACGUGAACCACGUGAGCGUGGAGGAGGUUGAAGCUCAGCCUGAUGCAGUAAUAGGUAAGUUCUUGGUUAAGUCAUUUACUGCAACCGUUCUUUUCGAUACUGGUGCAUCGCAUUCAUACAUAUCAAGGGGAUUUGUGAAUAAGUUUAAGAUGUCCACCAAAGUUCUCAGAAACCCUAUGUUAGUAACCUCGCCAGGAGCAGAGUAUAUGGCCACCCAAGGAUGUUUUCAGAUACCAUUGGCCAUUGGUAGGCAUGUUUUCCCCUCAGACCUCAUAGUUUUGGAGUCGCAAGGUUUGGAUGUGAUUUUGGGGAUGGAUUGGCUAUCGUUGUAUGGAGGAAACAUCGAUUGUGCCAGCAAGACGAUUUUGCUUACCACCCCGGAAGGGAAAAGGAUCAAGUAUGUAUCCCGACAUAUGCCGAAGAGGACUCAAGUAAAUUCCUUAUCAGGAGUUGUACAGGAGGAAGUACCAGUGGUGAAGGAUUAUCCGGAUGUAUUUCCAGAAGAGUUGCCAGGCAUGCCACCAGAUAGGGACAUUGAGUUUUUGAUUGAACUUUUGCCAGGCACAGGGCCAAUAUCUAAGAGACCGUACAGGAUGCCCGCAAAAGAUUUGGAGGAAAUUAAGAAGCAGAUCAAGGAGUUACUGGAUAAAGGCUAUAUUCGCCCAAGUUCGUCACCUUGGGGAUCACCAGUACUUCUAGUGGAGAAGAAAGAUGGAUCGCUGAGGAUGGUUGUUGAUUACCGUGGAUUGAAUGAAGUAACCAUCAAAAACAAGUACCCACUGCCGAUGAUCAAUGAUUUGUUUGACCGCCUACAAGGAGCUAAAGUAUUUUCCAAGAUCGAUCUACGAUCAGGAUAUCAUCAGUUAAAGAUUCGAGAGCAGGAUAUACCAAAGACGGCUUUUACCACCAGAUAUGGAUUGUAUGAGUAUACCGUUAUGUCAUUUGGUCUGACUAACGCACCUGCCUAUUUCGAGAGCCGGAAGGUUUUGUCGAUCCUAAGAAUGCUAACAAAGUAUGCAAGCUCCAGCGCUCAAUCUAUGGGCUGGUGCAAGCAUCUCGGAGUUGGAACAUUCGCUUUGAUGAGAUGAUCAAAGCGUUUGGGUUUACACAGACUUAUGGAGAAGCCUGUGUUUACAAGAAAGUGAGUGGGAGCUCUGUAGCAUUUCUCAUAUUAUAUGUGGAUGACAUAUUAUUGAUGGGAAAUGAUAUAGAAUUCUUGGAAAGAGUAAAGGCCUAAUUGAAUAAGUGUUUUUCAAUGAAGGACCUUGGAGAAGCUGCUUAUAUAUUAGGCAUCAAGAUCUAUAGAGUUAGAUCAAGACGCCUCAUUGGUCUUUCACAGAGUACAUACCUUGACAAAAUAUUGAAGAAGUUCAAUAUGGAUCAGUCCAAGAAGGGGUUCUUGCCUGUAUUGCAAGGUGUGCAGUUGAGCAUGGCUCAAUGUCCGACCACGGCAGAAGAUAGAGAAAAGAUGAGUGUCAUCCCCUAUGCCUCGGCCAUAGGGUCUAUUAUGUAUGCCAUGCUGUGUACCAGACCUGAUGUAAACCUUGCCGUAAGUUUGGUAGGAAGGUACCAAAGUAAUCCCGGCAUGGAACACUGGACAGCGGUCAAGAAUAUCCUGAAGUACCUGAAGAGGACUAAGGAUAUGUUUCUCGUUUAUGGAUGUGACGAAGAGCUCGUCGUAAAGGGUUACGUCGACGCUAGCUUCGACACAGAUCUGGAUGACUCGAAGUCACAAACCGGAUACGUGUAUAUUUUGAAUGGAGGAGCAGUAAGCUGGUGCAGUUGCAAGCAAAGCGUCGUGGCGGGAUCUACAUGUGAAGCGGAGUACAUGGCAGCCUCGGAGGCAGCACAGGAAGCAGUCUGGAUGAAGGAGUUCAUUACCGACCUAGGGGUGAUUCCCAAUGCGUCGGGCCCGAUGACUCUCUUCUGUGACAACACUGGAGCUAUUGCCCUUGCGAAGGAGCCCAGGUUUCACAGGAAGACCAGGCAUAUCAAGCGUCGCUUCAACUCCAUUCGUGAAAGUGUUCAAAAUGGAGACAUAGAUAUUUGUAAAGUACAUACGGACCUGAAUGUAGCAGAUCCGUUGACUAAACCUCUCCCUAGAGCAAAACAUGAUCAACACCAGGACGCAAUGGGUGUUCGAUUCAUCACAAUGUAACUAGAUUAUUGACUCUAGUGCAAGUGGGAGACUGUUGGAAAUAUGCCCUAGAGGCAAUAAUAAAUGGUUAUUAUUAUAUUUCUUUGUUCAUGAUAAUCGUCUAUUGAUCAUGCUAUAAUUGUAUUGUCCGGUAAUCAUAAUACAUGUGUGAAUGCAUAGACCACAACGUGUCCCUAGUAAGCCUCUAGUUGACUAGCUCGUUGAUCAAUAGAUAGUCAUGGUUCCUGACUAUGGACAUUGGAUGUCAUUGAUAACAGGAUCACAUCAUUAGGAGAAUGAUGUGAUGGACAAGACCCAAUCCUAAGCAUAGCAUAAAAGAUCGUGUAGUUUCGUUUGCUAGAGCUUUUCCAAUGUCAAGUAUCUUUUCCUUAGACCAUGAGAUCGUGCAACUCCCGGAUACCGUAGGAGUGCUUUGGGUGUGCCAAACGUCACAACGUAACUGGGUGACUAUAAAGGUGCACUACGGGUAUCUCCGAAAGUGUUUGUUGGGUUGGCAUGGAUCGAGACUGGGAUUUGUCACUCCGUGUGACGGAGAGGUAUCUCUGGGCCCACUCGGUAAUGCAUCAUCAUAAUGAGCUCAAUGUGACUAAGGGUUAGUCACGGGAUCAUGCAUUGCGGUACGAGUAAAGAGACUUGCCGGUAACGAGAUUGAACAAGGUAUUGGGAUACCGACGAUCGAAUCUCGGGCAAGUAACAUACCGAUUAACAAAGGGAAUUGCAUACGGGAUUGAUUGAAUCCUCGACACCGUGGUUCAUCCGAUGAGAUCAUCGUGGAACAUGUGGGAGCCAACAUGGGUAUCCAGAUCCCGCUGUUGGUUAUUGACCGGAGAGGCGUCUCGGUCAUGUCAGCUUGUCUCCCGAACCCGUAGGGUCUACACACUUAAGGUUCGGUGACGCUAGGGUUGUAGAGAUAUGUGUAUGCGGAAACCCGAAAGUUGUUCGGAGUCCCGGAUGAGAUCCCGGACGUCACGAGAGGUUCCGGAAUGGUCCGGAGGUGAAGAAUUAUAUAUAGGAAGUCAAGUUUCGGCCACCGGGAAAGUUUCGGGGGUUACCGGUAUUGUACCGGGACCACCGGAAGGGUCCCCGGGGUCCACCGGGUGGGGCCACCUAUCCCGGAGGGCCCCGUGGGCUGAAGUGGGAAGGGAACCAGCCCCUAGUGGGCUGGGCGCCCCCCAUGGGCCUCCCCCCAUGCGCCUAGGGUUGGGAACCCUAGGGUGGGGGGGCUUCCCACUUGCCUUGGGGGGCAAGGCACCCCCUUUCCCCCUUUGGCCGCCGCCCCCCCUUGAGAUCCCAUCUCCAGGGCCGGCGCCCCCCCAGGGGGCCUAUAUAAAGGGGGGGAGGGCAGCAACAAGACAGCCUUGGGCGCCUCCCUCCUCCCCUGCUACACCUCUCCGUCUCGCAGAAGCUCGGCGAAGCCCUGCCGAGACCCGCUACAUCCACCACCACGCCGUCGUGCUGCUGGAUCUCCAUCAACCUCUCCUUCCCCCUUGCUGGAUCAAGAGGAGACGUCGCUGCACCGUACGUGUGUUGAACACGGAGGUGCCGUCCGUUCGGCACUCGGUCAUCGGUGAUUUGGAUCACGGCGAGUACGACUCCGUCAUCCACGUUCAUUGGAACGCUUCCGCUCGCGAUCUACAAGGGUAUGUAGAUGCACUCCUUUCCCCUCGUUGCUAGCAUACUCCAUAGAUGCAUCUUGGUGAGCGUAGGAAAAUUUUAAAUUAUGCUACGAUUCCCAACAAUUUCAGCCCAACCGACGAUGGACUCGUCGGAGCCCGACAAUUUUUUACCAAGGUGCUCCAAUUCUGCUCAAAUCCCCUCCAAUUUUCGGCGACCAACCCCGAUUCCGACCGAUUUUGAUCAAUUCCUACGUAGGCUACCGAGCGGGGCAUGGGGCGAGCAGCCAAACGGGUCCGCAUGCGCGCGUGAACAGGGGAGAGGGGUGGGGCCGCGGGCGUGCGUGAACAGGGGAGAAGGGUGGAGCCGCCGACGCGCGUGAACAGAGGAGAGGGGUGGGGCCGCGGGCGCACGUGAACACGGGAGAGGGGUGGGUCGCCGGCGUGCGUGAACAGAGAAGAUGGGUGGGGCCGUGGGCGCGCAUGAACAAGGGAGAGGGGUGGGGCCGUGGGCGCGCAUGAACAAGGGAGAGGGGUGGGGCCGCGGUGCACGCUGGGGGUUAGCCGGCCGGGGCGCCCGCCCACGAGCCGCGCGCGAGAAGGAAAGCGGGUCGGGGUUGUGGGCAGGAGCUCGAAGGCGGCUGGCCGCGGUGCGGACAUCCACUAGAUCAAGAUCGGGUACAUGGUGACCUUCAAGUUGGUGACUCCCACGCCGUGAAGGUGAUCGUCUUCAACAACGACGGCAUUAAAGUGAUGACCAAGUUGCAGGAGGCACGACGACGCAUUCAUCGUGAACGUUUAUGAGAGCUCUAUAUUGCGCAUGCUGGUUUGGUUACGACUGUGUCAUAAUGGUUCGGUUGAAAACUACUUAAUUUAAGUGUCGUACUAUGUUUGAAAACUGUUUGAAUUGAUUUAAAACUAUGUUUAUAUGAUAUUUGUUUGUGUGUCAUUGGUUUGUUCCGCAUGCCUAGUGUAUUGAUAACCUCACCACCUUCACGAGGAAGUUACCAAACAACAUGCCCUGCAUGUAAUCAAACACCAUGACUUGUGUUUUCGCCUAAACAAGUGGGCAACCAAACAACCUACCUUUCGUUUCGUCCCACGCAGGCUAGAAGGUAUGCAGUCAACCAAACAAUAUACAGAUGUUAAUAUUUUUGCAUGUUUACUUUCAAUUGAGACAUAGAUGCAAUGCAAGCAAAAGUAGAUACGGCAAACAAACACACCCAUGGUGCCUAUCAUGUUUUCCAAAAAACGCACCUCCGAAGGUGGGAUUUUUUUUAACAGAAAUCCUCCGCUACAUUUUAUUUUAUUUUUCCCUGAAAAAAAAGAAGCGGAGGAUUUCUGCCACGAUACUAUCCGCACUGUGCGCGGAGCAUCUCUUCCCCGUAGGCACACACACGGCCGUCCCUGGACCCACCUGUCUUCCACGGACAUCGACUCACCCAUCUCCGAACCGCCCCCCCUCUGUCGCCACACCCCCGUCCCCACGCCCGCGGCGCAAAACCCCGCUAAAUUUUUCGCUCCGCCCGCCCCCAAGUCUCGCCACCGCCGCCAUCCUCCAAAUCGUCGGAGAAGAUAAUCCCCAGGACCCCCUUAGGGAUGUACGCCGACAUCCAGAAGGGUCGGCCGGGCUGCCGCCCCGUCGACGCCGCCUCCAUGGCGAAGCUCAUGAAGGUCUGGGCGAGGUACUUCCCCGAGGAAACCGAGCUCCAGGUCCCGGCGGACGACCCCAGGGCCAGGCUCGUCGGCGACCUGGUUAAGGUCCUGGAGCUGGAGGAGAGGGCCAAGCUCCUCCCACGUGUAAGCAUCUGUCUCCAUUCCCCGUAUAGCGCCUCAUUUUUGGCCCAUCUCUUAUGGUGACGCGAUUCUAGGGUUGCUUACUCGGUUCGGCCGCGACGAAAUUAUGGCGGUUGCUGCGCGACUGGUUGGUGCCUAGGGUUUAUCGGAUUGGCUGAUUGAUCGUUAGUUGAAAUUUUCUGGGAGUGGCAGCUGACAUUGUAACUGUAUAUAGUUAAAAUGCUUGCAGUCUCGUGCCUAAUGUCUGUUUGGUUCCAAUUAUUUAAGUUCCUGAGCUUGCCAUUGCUAGACAUUUAAUUGGGUACCAUUGUUAGUAAAAUGUGUGUUGGUUCCUUGCUGUUAGGGCAGAAUUUGGGUAAUAAUUUACUUAUCUGAUCGAAUCGACCUCGAAAUUUGGGGCAGAAUUUGUUUCUACAAUCUUCAAGAUCAAGGUCUCAAUGCGAUGGUGGCUCCUGGUAUAUGAAGUAGUGACAUAUCUAAUCAGAAAAGGGGAAUACUCUUCUUUAUUAGGAGGGAAAAGAAUCAAGAGGAGCUUGUAAUUUUGUGAAUAACUUUGAUACUUUUGUGCUCCACUUUGUCAGUAUCAUAAGAUUACUUAUACGUUUAUACCCCAAUGUGCUGCUGCGAUAACUACCUAAAGCACGACGCAAUGUUCCAAUUGAAAAAUGAAAUCAUGGCAUCAUGUAGUUGCACAAUAAAUUACUAAUCGGGUGGAAAUGAUUUAAACACAUCGCUUCAUAGUGUGCUUUUGUCAUUACAUGGAAAAAUAUUUCCGGUUCCAGCAAAUGAACGAAUUCAUGUUAUUAUAACUUAUGACUACAUUCACAGGUUGAAGAUGAUGGUGUUGUCUUCUUCCUUCCGAUUGAUUUCCAGCAGCUUAAGAACUUGUGCGGUGGUACCAACCUCUUAGAUGCUCUCAGGGAAAAUCCUAAAGAAGCCUUGCUUUGCAUGGGAGUUGCAGUUCAUCUGGUUGAUGCUUCAUUUCAUGCUAAAAUUAUUAGUGUUGUCAGUUGUGCUUUGUUUUUUCACUCGCUGGACUUUGAUUCUUGAUGUUUUCUUCAGGUUAAGUGCUCGGGCAAUGGCCUCCAGUUGAGCGACGUAGACAAGGUCAAUAUCAGGCUUUACAACCACACCGAGACAAUAAUUGCUUUGAAGAAUUUGAAAGCGGCCUAUAUUAGUAAGAACUUCUGUCUUUAUCCGUGUGUUCUGCAUCUAAAUGAAGUACUGACUUGUUGAUUCACCUCAUAGAGAAACUAGUGACAGUGCGUGGUACUGUUGUAAAAGUCAGUACUGUGAAACCUCUAGUUCUGGCGCUGGAGUUCAAAUGCAUGAAGUGUGCUACAGUCAUCCGUCGUGUGUUCUCUGACGGGAAAUUUUCACCUCCAGUAUCCUGCAUAAUUCAGGGCUGCAAGGGCAGAACCUUCACCCCAUUGAGAUCUACUGCCAAGUUGAUAGAUUUUCAGAAAAUAAGGCAAGUGAUAAAUAGAUAAUCUGUGUCAUUCUCUGCUUAUAACACUAAGCUCUGUUUUUAUUAUUUUCAAUCCAGGAUACAGGAGCUUUCUAGUGCUGAAAACCGUGAAGAAGGCCGAGUGCCACGAACUAUAGAAUGUGAGCUUAUAGAAGAUCUUGUAGAUUGUUGCAUCCCUGGAGAGGUUGUAACGGUAGCUGGAAUCGUCAAAGUGCUGAACAACCAUAUGGAUGUUGGAGGAGGUACAAUUUUGAAGAAACUAGUAUCUUAUUUCUCGUUGUUCAUUUCUGAACCUUCCUGGAUACUAUAUUUUACAUUGUUUCAAAGCCUGAAUCCUCUUUGCAAAAAAAAUAAAAAUGCUAAUGUUCAGGUGUCCCAAAUUUCCUGCAACACCUGUAGAGCACAUAUGUUUUCAGUCUUUUGUUAAGGUUGUUCAGUAGUUUGGGUUGGUUGUCUAGUUCUGGUGCAUUAUGGACUACUAGGUGUAACCGUAUCAGGUAGUUCACAAGAACAAUUAUCAAGUUCCAUGUUACUCUUAGGGAAAACCUAUCUCCUGCUACGUUUGUUAUCCCUAAAACCUCUCCUCAUUUUAUCUUUACCUUAACCAAAACAUUCACUCUUUUUUAGACAUUGUUGCUUUCUAUGAUUUCCUUUAAUAUAAGACUCAAGAAUUGUUUGUAGAACAAUGAUGAUAGCCAAAAGGUUACUAUGUGUGGCGUCCAUGUCCUUGCCACAUGCAAUAGUCGUGAUGAUUUCUCUGUCAUGCACGGUAUCCCAUACAAAAGGCCAUGCACGCCACACAAAGCAGGAAAGUGUCGGAUCAACAGACCAUGUCAGCAAUGAGACGUGUCCAGGAGGGAUAUGUCGGGACAGACUCGGUGCUCCUGGAGGCAGCAUCCACUGCCACUGUCUUGCCGCAGCCAAAAGUUGUGGGUGAGGGGAGGACAAGUUCAAUCCCCAUGCCUCCUCAGUGCCAUCAAGGGUUAGACUGUUAGAGCAGAUUAUAGGUGGUAGGUGCAACAUAUCGGCUGGAUGGGAGAUACAAAGAGUGAGAGAUAGAGGUGAAUUGCGUCUUCAUUGAUUUAAUAUAUUACUCCCUCCGUUCCAAAUUACUCGUCGCAGAAAUGGAUGUAUCUAGAACUAAAAUACAUCUAGAUACAUCCAUACAUGCGACAAGUAAUUCGGAACGGAGGGAGUACAUUACAGUUCCUUUAUGUAGUCUCUACUGGCGUAUCUGUGUAUGACCUUAUACCUAAUAAUCCUAAGUUCCUAACUGACCACAACUCAUAUUUGAAUCUAGUUGCACUGUCCUGGACUGGUCUCGAGAUCAAUGAUACCAAUGGCAUUGAUCCGGGUGGACUAAUUGAAUGCACUGGAGCCCGAGUCAUAGACAGCCAGUAAUAGGUUUGGGUAGUUGCGGGAGCUGCAGCGUUGGCACAACUGGCCUGUAUUCUAGGCCCAGCUGAAUUGGGUUCAGCUGCUGCCCGUCUGGUGGUUAUACACCCCACAACUGAUCCCAUGAUCAUAUCCUGAUCUCUUGUGUAGUUCUUUCUGGUUCUACCAUGCAAACACAAUCAGUGAAGUUCAUAUUAGUCUGAUGCCGGUGCAUUCUUUUUCCAAAACAUUCUUGUUUGUACUAUGUAGAUGCAUAUUUUCUUAAAUUGUCCUGUGGAUAUAUACAUAUAUUUUUAAUAUCUUCAGGUAAGUCCAAAAGCAGAAAUCAGGGUUUAUACUACUUGUACUUGGAAGCAAUCUCAGUAAGGAACUCCAAGGCCCAUGUUGUUUCAGAAAAUUCAGAUGCAAGUUCUACUGAUAUUCUGGCUACUGGAUCCUUCAGUUUCGAAACUUUUACUGAUAAGGAUCUUAAAUUCAUCACCGAAUAUAAUAGCGAGCAUGGUGCUGAUGUAUUUCGUCAAAUACUUCACUCCUUUUGCCCCUCCAUCUAUGGGCAUGAACUUGUAAAGGGUAAUUUUCUAUUCUAGUACACUGUUUUAAAUCCUAAUGUGGUAUUUUCUUGCAGUAAUUUAAUUAGAAGGUAUUUGCGCUGGCUAUUUAAUGUGAUUAAAUAUUUACAUUUUGUCUGCUCAGUGUUGUCCAAACAUUUGGAAAUAAAUCAAUCUGUUGUGCUCUCUUUAGUUUCUGUAUAUAAGAAAUGAUAACUAUUAUUUUAGCUUCAUUACUUGUGGACAUGUGCAGCGUUUUCAGUAACGAUUAUUUGAUUAUUCAUUAUUUCACGGUAAGUACUCUUGUGCCGUCUCCAAAAAAACCAAUUCAGCUGUGAGGAAUUGAUCAAGCUAUUAGUGCAGAGUUCAGUAAGGGGAUAUGUUCUCUUUCUUUUCAAGAGCCAGCGUUCUAAAGAAUGAAGGAAAGAAAAGAGUGCAAACUGUAUUUUUGAACGUAAAAAUAUUAAAUUAUCAAAAGUUCGACGAGUAGAAUAAAGACAUGCCUUAUUUUCUAAGAGAGCAAACAUCAAGAAUGAAUGUUUGUCCAUCUCCAGUUCUUCUUAUGAUCAAUACCUGCAUCUUCAUUAGUACAUGACGACCUAGCUACCGCUUGCUGACUUAAAUCUUGGUGGGAAGGCGGUGCCUAAUGCUUAGGCAGCCGUCUAGUCCAAUUUUAGAACACUGUCGAUAGUGCAGAGUUCUCAUUUCAGCGCAGUAGCAUUUGCUUGGAUGCCGCUUCUUCUGAUUCGUUUUGUUUCUUUGUUGCAUUAUAUUACUGGACAUGACUAAAUUAAUGUUUCUAAAUUUCAGCUGGUAUCACUCUUGCGCUUUUUGGUGCUGUGCAGAAGCAUUCAAUGGAUCAGAACAAAGUCCCAAUUAGAGGAGACAUCCAUGUUAUUAUUGUUGGUAAUCCUUAUAAUUUACCAAUCAUGAUCCAUGUAGUACAUGCUUAGCACUUCCCAGGAUGCAAUCAUACUCUUGCUUAAUGUUGUCGCAGGCGAUCCAGGACUAGGCAAGAGCCAAUUACUAAAAGCUGCAGCAUCUGUUUCCCCACGGGGAAUAUAUGUAUGCGGGAAUACAACCACAAAUGCUGGUCUAACAGUUGCUGUGGUUAAAGAUUCAAUGACAAAUGAUUAUGCAUUUGAGGCUGGUAAGCAUGGAAGAUUUAUUUGUUCCUCACACAUUCUGUGGAGAACCUUGUCAGAAAGUCAGCUAAUUCGAUCAUUUGUUGUCAUAUAAUUGGUUGUUCUACUGUUUUGUGGCCGAUGUGGUUUGAAGUCUUAGAAUUUGUGAUUGGAUCAAAAUAAUGUUAAGCUCUUGGCUUUACAGGGGCCAUGGUUCUUGCUGACCGUGGGCUAUGUUGCAUUGAUGAGUUUGACAAAAUGUCAGCAGAGUAUCAGGUAUUAUUUUUAGUUUUCACCUGAUACAACCUUCUUGGUGAAAUGUUCAUUCAGUAAAAGAUGUUCUAUACUUUCCUUGUUUGAAAUUGAAUUUGUGUUCUCAGUCCUUACUGGAAGCCAUGGAGCAGCAGUGUGUAUCUGUGGCAAAGGCUGGCCUUGUGGCGAGUUUAUCUGCCCGCACUUCUGUGCUGGCAGCUGCUAAUCCUGUUGGUGGUCAUUACGAGUGGGUUAAUCUUUUCCAUCCUUUGAUAAAAUUUUCUACCCCUGCUUAUCGUAUGAUGUUUGUCAUUCUGGAUAUGUUGUCUUCAUUCAUCUUUCCUUCUUCAAUUGAUACUCAUUACCUGUACUGUUAUCUCUGUGCGUAUGCGCGCGAUGUGCAAUUACUACAGUGUGAUUGUUUUUGUCAACGUAAUGUUCUUUUUGCACUCACACAACCACACAAGUCACCGUGCCUGGAACAGGCAGACCUGUAAGCAAAUACCAUUUCCUUGUGUAUUCUGGUGUUGUUCCUUAUUUUUGCUUGUCAGUGAGAUGUAGGUAACAGAUCUUAAAUUCCUGGGUUGUUUUCAACUUUUAGUAAUACUAUUUUUGCAGCCGAGGCAAAACAGUGAAUGAGAAUUUAAAGAUGAAUGCUGCCCUGCUCUCUCGGUUUGACCUGGUUUUCAUUUUACUUGACCAGCCAGACUUGUUUCUAGAUAAGAGAGUAUCAGACCACAUAAUGGCAGUAAGUUUUUGUUAUCCAUUUUUUGUCCACAUCUUAAGCAUAUAGUACCGAUGAGCAAUAUCACCACAUAUAAUAAAUGUGUCAGGGCUUUAAUCUAAUUAAAAAAACUAAGGAAAAAACAACAUUUUCUACACGCAGCUCCAUACCAAUGACAGAAGUCCUUGCUCAUCCAACAAGAGGCUAAGAACAGGUCAUUCUUUGGUUAUUCCAUAGCAUUUUUAGUUCCUUUUUACAUGUGAAACCGUAUACAUCGUUAUUGAUUUGCAACUUUGCCCCAUGCCCAGUGCCUCAAUUUAAUGGCAGUAUGGGGAUUGGAAUUGAUGAGAAAAAAUUAGCUUCAAGGCUGAGACUACACCCUGAGAAAGAUAGGGACUUUGUUCCGUUACCUGAACCACUUCUUCGCAAGUAUAUAUCUUACGCGAGAAGCUAUGUUACCCCCCGGUAUUUUGUCAGCUCCUUUUCACUUAUCAAUACCAUAUAUGUAAUGCAAUGAGUUCUCAUUUUGUUAUUUUUCUUCUCUCGGCUCAAGUGUGUCAGAACCAGCAGCGGUGGUACUGCGAAAAUAUUACUUGAAUUUGAGAGCGCAUAGUACUUGUUCUGAUGGCACACCCAUCACAGCGAGACAAUUGGAAAGCCUUGUGAGGUUAGCAGAAGCUCGCGCUCGGGUGGAUCUAAGAGAAGAAGUGACUGAACAAGAUGCGAAUGUAAAUAAGUAGAAUACUUACCCCCCGGUUCCCUCCUCCCCAUUUUGUACAUAUGCGCACCUUGCACCCUUGCACUGCCAGCUUGGAUUUCUUCAUACUUCAUACCUAAAUUACCAGCAGAGAAUUUUUCUGUUGGUUUAGGUUCUUGUCCAUGAUUGCUGGGAAAAUCUGAGUUCUUUCUCAUGCUAGUUUUCAUCCUCAGCAAAUUACUGAAUCAAACUCAGAAGCAUGAUGAAUUAUGUUUUUUAAUCUCCAUAUCAUGUCGAUGUUGCAGAUUUAUUUUUUCUGUCUGUUUGCUGCUUUAUAAAUCUGAAAAUGUGAACGUACGGUGCUUAUCGCAUGCCUAAGGCUUAUGCAAAGUGUUGUCUGGCAAAUAGACAGCCGGAUAGUUAGAUGACAUCAAGAGGCACACCUAUUUAAUAAAAAAUGGGCAUGCAAUCUCAUUCUGCGUUUUAUUAUGUUGCAGGAUGUUGUUGAGAUCAUGAAUGAAUCCUUAUAUGACAAAUAUGUUGAUGAGCAUGGUUGUGUGGACUAUGCUCGGAGUGGUGGGAUGAGCCAACAAAAGGAGGCAAAAAGACUUAUGAGUGCCUUAAACAAGCAAUCUGAGUUGCAGCAAAAGGAUCAGUUUUCAAGAGCCGUAAGCAAUUAUGCAUCUAAAAUAUUUUUGAUGAAAGGCUGGUCUGUUAUUGCAUAUACGCAAACCAACUGACAUGGAAAGAGUGCCAAUUUUAGUUCAGUUACAAUUCUGGUCCUGCUAUGAUCGACGAAAUUUUGACAUACUUGCUUUUUGUGCAUUUUGAUUCUUUUGUUACGCGGUUUCUCCAGUCAAUAGGAGCAUCUUCUUGAGGUUCCUCUGAUGUUCUGUAAUUUUCCCUUUGUAGGAGAUACGGAGCUUAGCAGAUAAAAUCAGCUUGCAAGUCCCGGAUUUAGAUGAUAUUAUGGAAAGAUUGAACAGUGCCGGUUUUAUUGUACAUAAAGGACAAAACAUAUACCAGGUAUUGUCUCAUAAAACUGCUUGACAUCAAGAAGUUUUGAUGUAUACAUUAGAUGGUUAUCCUGGUGUCGUGCUGAUUAUUGAUUAUGAGUUUAUGACUGUCAGGCUCGUGAUGAGCCCUCCACUGAGAAUCUAACUUAUUAUUGUCUGUGAAACAGAUAUUGACCUCAUCAUGUUCACGGACCCAGCCAACAAGGUCAAGAUGGUGAGUUCUCUUACACCCUACAUGAAAACAUGGGAGUUUGGUGUUGGUAUUAUGCUAAAUUUUAUAUCUGUGCCACACGUUAACGUCUGGUUGAUUAACAGUUACUUUGGGUCAGUGUCCAACACUUGCCAUUGUUGUGACAAGAUAACUGUUCAAAGGUUUCCUCUUUGCUGCCGAUUCAUGAUCGUUUUUUUUCUGGCAGAUGUAGGGGGGAUAUGUUCUGCAACUAGUAUGGACCGUUAUGUACAGUAUAGUCAUGUGAUGGCCUCUAAUUAAAAUGUGCGGAUAGCUCUGUUAAUGCUGUUUAUCGUAGCAGCUGUAGCUGAUAAUGACAAAAUUAGUAUCCUUACUAGUUCCAGCAUGUUAAAGAAACAUCCUGUUUUCGUUAAAGAAUCGUCUAUGUCCUGGACAUUGGUGAUCAUGAAUGCUGAUUCUUUAUGUGAAAGAAACAUAGUGUGUUUUUUUGCGGGGAAGAAACUUAAUGCUUCUAUGAGACUUGGAAUGGAAAUAACCCCUUAGGCCUGAGAAAUAGCAAACCCGCUUUGCUUACGGUUAUGUUUUUAUUUGGACGAACGCAGCAAUGCUGCUUCAUUUUAUAUUAAGAGAAAGAGUUACAACAAGUAAUUGGGCGGUGAUGAAGGUGACCACCAAGGUAGACAAAUGGAGGGCACAGAUAACAAGUUUCAUAGAAUCAUAGUACCAUCAAGGAGGCCUCCAUGUUAGCCUCCUUGGUGGUGUCACCACUCUUCUACAUUUUGCUCUACGGGAAUGUGGAACGCUGGUGUUUUAUCCUACGUCUGUGCUCUACGCUUACCAGUCGAAUUGUUUUGUGUGCUAUCCAUUUUUACAGAGAAAGCAGCCUUUAGAUUGCUCAAUCAAUAGGUCUUUUUCAAGCAUAGGCAAAAGGUAAUUUUAGGGGUCAUGGAGCCAUAUAUAUCUAUAAAUGAUAAUGAUGUUGUGCCCGCCCUGUUAGAUUCUCUCGGGUAGUGAACAAAGGUUGCUUUUCACAAACUCAGUCGCCUAGACUCAACGAUCAGUCUUGCUAUCAUAGUUGAAGCCUACCCGGUUACACCCCAUUUGCAGCGCCAUGGCUGACCUCAACAUCCUUUUUUUUUCUUGAGGUGAUUGCCUCACAUCUUGGGCAUGAACCAUGAGAGGUUCACCUGGGGUCGAUCGAUCUCGCUCACGCCGUUUGCUACCAGGUUUCUUCGCAACAGCUGUUUUGAAGUUGGCAGCCAGGACCAUGAGCAACGUAAACACGCAAUUGGAUCGAUGGGAGCUUGGAACUUCUCCCCAUUAAUGUGCCGCCAGCGUCUUCCACCGUUUUAUGAAAUGUACUACCCGCUGCUCCUAAAUACAGUACAAGUCUUUUUAAUGAUUUUAAUAUGAACUACAUAUGGAGCAAAAUAAGUGAAUCUACACUCUAAAAUAUGUCUAUAUACAUCUGUAUGUAAUCCUUAUUGAAAUUGAAAUCUCUAAAAAGACAUAUUUUUUUAAGGACGGAGGGAGUACUACGGAGUGUGUAAGUAGUUCCAGUGAUACUUUUCCUGCCCUAUCUGCCGCCAAUGCUUCACUUGUUCCGUGUUGGAAUGGGGCAUAUCUUUCGUUGCCCAUUAGUAUAGACGCCAAUGAGCAAUCAAACUAGUUUCCUCAUCGUAUCCUCUUGGGUUGUGCAGAGUUUGCAGUGAAAAACAUAAUCAGCUGUUAUUUGCAUAACUCUUCCAGUGUGAAUUACUACUACAAUCAGCAAAACUGCAUCCAUGUCAUUAUGGAUUUUGCACACAAAAAAACAUGAUACAGAAGCAUUGCAGAGGGCAGAUAAAACUUGCUAUCCAAAUCAUGGAAACAAAACUCAAUAGCGACAGACAGUCAACAGCAUCUCGCUAGUACAACUUCAGGUUACGUAUAUAGGAAUGAAAAUGCUAAAUGGUGGACGAGCUCCAUGGAGCUCGUUUUUUUGAAAAAAAAAACCCCGGAAAUUAUAGCUCCCAAGUUUCAAAAAAUCCUAAAAAGAUCACACGCGUUCAUACAGAUGUAAAUUUUAAAGAUGAUACUAUAAAUUAAUGGCGAGAGCUUCACUAGUUAGAGAAAAUCGUGAUUCUGAAAAUGGUGAACAUGUUUUGUGUAGCUCUUCAUCGUUAGAACGUGUAGAUUUUUCUCAGAAUAUUUUUAUUCAAAAUGUGUUUUUUGCUUCUUUUUGCUCAGGACAUUAAUAAUAUCCAAUCUAACCCAAAUAUCCAAUCCAAUUCACAGGUCGAUUGGUAUGGAUUUUUUUUCAGUACUACAGUACUGCAAAACUAUCUCAUCAUGCAAAAAAGAUUUUUUAAACAAACAUCAACAACAUAACACAGACAAUCAUAGCACAUGAGAUAAAACCCACUAGCCAGCAGAGUAACACAGCAACAAUAUAUAUCCAGAUCAUGGAAACAAUACUCUUAAUAGCAACUGUUAAGAGAAAGCAACAGCAGAGAAGGAACAAAUCUCGCUAGUACAACUUCAGGUUAUAUAGGACAUUGUAAACAUAGCAGGCAACUUUCCUCCUCAAACGACCAGAGCCUUACAGUCCAUUCCAUCCUUGCCUAACAAAAAUGCAACCUAAGACCUGGGCUUCUCCUUCUUCUCCUUGAAGAGAGCGAGAAGCGACACACCAGAUACCUUGACAACCUUGAACCUGACACCGGGAAUAUCUCCCACGGCAUGACCCUUACGACCGAAUCCAGCAAUCAGCACCUCGUCCUGAAGCAUCCAUCAAGUCAAGAGGUUAGGUUGGUUGCAUAUAGCAGACAUAUCACAUAUAUGCGAGCAAUGGAGGUUAGGUUGGCUGCAUAUAGCAGACAUAUCGCAUAUAUCUGAGAAAUGGGUGAGGGGCACAUACGUUCUCCUCGAUGAAGUUCAGGCAACCAUCAUUGGGCACAAAGGCAGCGAUCUUCUUCCCGUUCUUCACCAGCUGGACACGAGCACACUUACGGAUGGCAGAGUUAGGCUG
Molecule: long non-coding RNA, 33971 nt
Filed under: Triticum aestivum (bread wheat)
Lineage: Eukaryota; Viridiplantae; Streptophyta; Magnoliopsida; Poales; Poaceae
Description: long non-coding RNA (TAES_LNC019543)
Rfam family: MIR1120/MIR1122 microRNA precursor family (bases 26103-26217)
Source: RNAcentral